Arachis ipaensis is the source of this 1497-nucleotide non-coding RNA. NCBI's taxonomy places the organism in Eukaryota, Viridiplantae, Streptophyta, Magnoliopsida, Fabales, Fabaceae. The record is from RefSeq and is a predicted model, not a curated record.
AAAAAAAGAAAAAAACCUACAAAACUAAACUAACUUCGGGGCAAGGAACCCCUUUUACAUCAUCUCUCAUUAAACUAACUAAAUCUAUCGGGGGAACAUCCAGAAAGUAAAGAGACUCCCUGUACUUGAUGCUACUGUGCGCUAGCCAAUGUGCACACUGAUUGGCUUCUCUACCAAUAUGAAUAAAAGCAAUUUCCCAUGGUCUACGAAGGAUUUUGUGAAUCUCGUUUAGCACUUUGUUGUGACAUAAUUUUUCUGUCUUAUACUCCUUCAAAGCCUCGUAAACUUCCUUUGCAUCUACUUCCACCUCCACUCUUCUCAUUCCCAGGUCUGCUGCCAUGUGAAGUCCAUGGAGGACGCCCCACAACUCAGCUUGCACUGGUUGGCAUCUUCCCAAAUUUGCCCGAAAACCCCCAAUCCACUCCCCAUUAUGGGUUCGAAGAAGACCUCCACACCCAGCCUUCAUUGUUCUUUCUUGUGAUGUGCCAUCGGUAUUCAAUUUAACCCACCCUCUUUUGGGUGGGAUCCAAUGAUUCACUGGGCGGAGGAAACUUGGAUUGUGAACCUCUUCAUUUCGCCACUUCCAAAGCCAAUAGCAGAGGCAUUGUGAAAAAGAGAGCAAUAGCAUUUGGGUGUACUAAUUUGGCCCAGAUCCUGGAUGCGCUAGGACAGUCUCGCAGCACGUGGAGGAUCGAUUCUUUCACUUGGGGACAAUUAUGACAGUAAGGAGAAGUUCCCAUCAUUCUGGCUUUUCUAUCUGCUGUCAUCAACCUUCCAUGAUUCAUGAGCCACAAAAAGACGUAUAAAUGGAGUAGUAUGAGAGAAUCUCGUUUGCAACUAGAGAUGUUAAUGAGGCAGGGUGGGGGCGGAAGAUGUCUCCUUGCUUCCCAUCCUGGCCCUAGAAUUAAUCUUCGUCUCCGUUCCGUUUUUUGCCAUGAGAAAAUAAUUGUUCUCAUCUCCAUUCUCAGUGUUUCCUGUAUUUUUUGCGGAACCUCAUUCUUCCUCUCCUUAUGUGUUAACAUCCAUAUGAAAAUUAUAAUAAAAAAUAUAAAAACAAAAAAAACAAACUACAAAAUAUUAUUACAAACACACAAACAUAUCUUAUCCAAGAUUAUAAGUCUAGAAAUAUAAUAUAGCAAAUUAUAGUCCAUAAAAUAAAAUCUUAAACAAUAGGGUUAGGAUUUUUCAAUGAGUGAAAUUACUAAAAAAACUCCUAUAUUAAAAAUAAAGUAAGGAUUAUUAAGUAAGUUAAAAAAUUCGAAAAAUUAUCGAAGAUGGGGCGAGAUUCUCGCUCGACUCCCCGCCUGUCUCGAGAAAAUUUCGCUCCCCAUCCCCAUUUUCACGAAAAAAUUUCUCCAUCAUUAAAGCCUCAUUCAAGACGGUUUCCGCCAAAAUUCUCACAUCCUGAAAAUUUUUGACACUCCUAUUUAUAAUUGGUGUGUUCAUAAUUAAAUUUGAUAUUUUGUCAGCUAUGUUAAACUGCAAUAGUGACUAUCU